UACGUAGGGUGCAAGCGUUAAUCGGAAUUACUGGGCGUAAAGCGUGCGCAGGCGGUUCGUCGUGUCUGAUGUGAAAGCCCCGGGCUCAACCUGGGAAUGGCAUUGGAAACUGGCGGACUAGAGUGUGGCAGAGGGGGGGUGGAAUUCCGGCGUGUAGCAGUGAAAUGCGUAGAUAUGCGGAGGAACACCGAUGGCGAAGGCAAUCCCCUGGGCCUGCACUGACGCUCAUGCACGAAAGCGUGGGGAGCAAACAGG
RNAcentral lists this ribosomal RNA (255 nucleotides) under uncultured bacterium. RNAcentral describes it as "partial 16S ribosomal RNA". It matches the Rfam family "Bacterial small subunit ribosomal RNA", at positions 524 to 776 of the family's 1533-position model. The record is from RNAcentral.